This 468-nucleotide ribosomal RNA is filed under the name uncultured bacterium. RNAcentral describes it as "partial 16S ribosomal RNA". It matches the Rfam family "Bacterial small subunit ribosomal RNA", at positions 28 to 507 of the family's 1533-position model. The record is from RNAcentral.
GACGAACGCUGGCGGCGUGCUUAACACAUGCAAGUCGAACGGAAAGGCCCUGCUUUUGUGGGGUGCUCGAGUGGCGAACGGGUGAGUAACACGUGGGUAACCUGCCCUUGACUUUGGGAUAACUUCAGGAAACUGGGGCUAAUACCGGAUAGGAGCUCCUGCUGCAUGGUGGGGGUUGGAAAGUUUCGGCGGUUGGGGAUGGACUCGCGGCUUAUCAGCUUGUUGGUGGGGUAGUGGCUUACCAAGGCUUUGACGGGUAGCCGGCCUGAGAGGGUGACCGGCCACAUUGGGACUGAGAUACGGCCCAGACUCCUACGGGAGGCAGCAGUGGGGAAUAUUGCACAAUGGGCGGAGGCCUGAUGCAGCAACGCCGCGUGCGGGAUGACGGCCUUCGGGUUGUAAACCGCUUUCGCCUGUGACGAAGCGUGAGUGACGGUAAUGGGUAAAGAAGCACCGGCUAACUACGUG